RNAcentral lists this ribosomal RNA (469 nucleotides) under uncultured bacterium. Its description in RNAcentral is "SSU rRNA". It matches the Rfam family "Bacterial small subunit ribosomal RNA", at positions 26 to 521 of the family's 1533-position model. The record is from RNAcentral.
AGGACGAACGCUUGCGGCGUGCCUAAGAAAUGCAAGUCGAACGGGGGCUUCGGCCCUAGUGGCGAACGGUCGCGUAACACGUGGGCAACCUGCCCUGAAGCGGGGGACAACAGAUCGAAAGGUCUGCUAAUACCGCAUGUGGUCUGUGGAGGCAUCUCCAUAGCCUAAAGUCUUCGGACACUUCAGGAUGGGCCCGCGGCCUAUCAGCUAGUUGGUGGGGUAACGGCCUACCAAGGCUUCGACGGGUAGCUGGUCUGAGAGGACGACCAGCCGGAUUGGGACUGAGAUACGGCCCAGACUCCUACGGGGGGCAGCAAUUAGGAAUCUUGCGCAAUGGGGGCAACCCUGACGCAGCGACGCCGCGUGAAGGAUGAAGUCUUUCGGGAUGUAAACUUCUUUUCUCAAGGAAGAAGAAUGUGACGGUACUUGAGGAAUAAGCCCGGACUAACUACGCGCCAGCAGCCGCGGC